Molecule: long non-coding RNA, 252 nt
Filed under: Hordeum vulgare
Lineage: Eukaryota; Viridiplantae; Streptophyta; Magnoliopsida; Poales; Poaceae
Description: long non-coding RNA (HVUL_LNC010921)
Source: RNAcentral
GCUCGAGCCGGCCCCGCCGCCGUUCUCGUGCGGGCGGUGGGCGUCGCCGGAGGCCAUAGGGGCCGGGAUCGCGCGGGAUCGGGCCGGGAGGGCGGAAUUGGGGAGGAGACGGGCCCCCGAAACCCUAGCGGGGCGGGGCGGGGCGAGGCGAGGGUGGGGGGCAAAUGGAGGGAGGAAGGGGCAGGAAACUCGUUCGGGGGGAAGAGCGGGGAGAGACGCCAAGCCCAAAGCCUUUAAUCCUUUUUGAGUUUU